This 490-nucleotide ribosomal RNA is filed under the name uncultured bacterium. RNAcentral's name for it is "partial 16S ribosomal RNA". It matches the Rfam family "Bacterial small subunit ribosomal RNA", at positions 30 to 507 of the family's 1533-position model. The record is from RNAcentral.
AUUGAACGCUGGCGGCAGGCCUAACACAUGCGAGUCGAACGGUAACAGGAAGCAGCUUGCUGCUUUGCUGACGAGUGGCGGACGGGUGAGUAAUGUCUGGGAAACUGCCCGAUGGAGGGGGAUAACUACUGGAAACGGUAGCUAAUACCGCAUAACGUCGCAAGACCAAAGAGGGGGACCUUAGGGCCUCUUGCCAUCGGAUGUGCCCAGAUGGGAUUAACUAGUAGGUGGGGUAACGGCUCACCUAGGCGACGAUCCCUAGCUGGUCUGAGAGGAUGACCAGCCACACUGGAACUGAGACACGGUCCAGACUCCUACGGGAGGCAGCAGUGGGGAAUAUUGCACAAUGGGCGCAAGCCUGAUGCAGCCAUGCCGCGUGUAUGAAGAAGGCCUUCGGGUUGUAAAGUACUUUCAGCGGGGAGGAAGGGAGUAAAGUUAAUACCUUUGCUCAUUGACGUUACCCGCAGAAGAAGCACCGGCUAACUCCGUG